Long non-coding RNA from Folsomia candida, 328 nucleotides. RefSeq lists it as uncharacterized. The transcript has 2 exons. The record is from RefSeq and is a predicted model, not a curated record. Lineage: Eukaryota; Metazoa; Arthropoda; Collembola; Entomobryomorpha; Isotomidae.
GCCAUUAAGCAGGGGCCAAUCCUAAAAAUAUUUUUCUAAAGGUAACUAUUUAUAUUGAUAUGUGGAUAUCAAUGUUCAAACUACUUCUGAACGAUGACAAAUUUUUUGGAAAUUCAUAACCUAAAAUUAGAAUUAGUAAAACAUCUCAAUCCACUAGCUCGUGAUUUGUAAUUAUUGACAUAAAAUAAAAUAAAAUUCGAUGGAACCUUUGCCCAAAAAGAAAUGGGAAUGUGCAACCUGCUCGAAAUCUUUCACGACCAAACCUCGCCUUACAAAACACCUCCUCUGCCAUGAGCCAGAUGCCAAAAUGAAAUGUGAGGUAGGUAUG